This 465-nucleotide ribosomal RNA is filed under the name uncultured bacterium. Its description in RNAcentral is "partial 16S ribosomal RNA". It matches the Rfam family "Bacterial small subunit ribosomal RNA", at positions 28 to 507 of the family's 1533-position model. The record is from RNAcentral.
GACGAACGCUGGCGGCGUGCUUAACACAUGCAAGUCGAACGGAAAGGCCCUGCUUGCAGGGUACUCGAGUGGCGAACGGGUGAGUAACACGUGGGUGAUCUGCCCUGCACUUCGGGAUAAGCCUGGGAAACUGGGUCUAAUACCGGAUAGGAGCCAUUUUUAGUGUGAUGGUUGGAAAGUUUUUUCGGUGUAGGAUGAGCUCGCGGCCUAUCAGCUUGUUGGUGGGGUAAUGGCCUACCAAGGCGGCGACGGGUAGCCGGCCUGGGAGGGUGGACGGCCAAAUUGGGGCUGAGAUACGGCCCAGACUCCUACGGGAGGCAGCAGGGGGGAAUAUUGGACAAUGGGCGCAAGCCUGAUGCAGCGACGCCGCGUGGGGGAUGACGGCCUUCGGGUUGGAAACUCCUUUCGCUAGGGACGAAGCUUUUUGUGACGGUACCUAGAUAAGAAGCACCGGCUAACUACGUG